RNAcentral lists this non-coding RNA (184 nucleotides) under Mycoplasma sp. CAG:776. RNAcentral's name for it is "6S / SsrS RNA". It matches the Rfam family "6S / SsrS RNA". Rfam says of the family: E. coli 6S RNA was the first non coding RNA to be sequenced, but its function was unknown until recently. It consists of 184 nucleotides that fold into an extended hairpin structure with a large single-stranded internal bulge. The record is from Rfam by way of RNAcentral. Lineage: Bacteria; Bacillati; Mycoplasmatota; Mollicutes; Mycoplasmatales; Mycoplasmataceae.
AAAUACCUAGAGGAUAUAGUUUAUCUGUAGCAUAAAACCGACUAUGUGAUAGCCUUGGGAGAAUAAUUACAUGUGGAGUUGAAGGCUGGUCUUGAUUAGCCAGAAUCCAGAAGCAUGUAUGUUUCUUACCACCUCGCGAGAGCGGGUUUUUUAUCACCAGAUAGACUUUCCAUCUGGGUUUUUA